Molecule: ribosomal RNA, 1524 nt
Filed under: Escherichia coli
Lineage: Bacteria; Pseudomonadati; Pseudomonadota; Gammaproteobacteria; Enterobacterales; Enterobacteriaceae
Description: partial 23S ribosomal RNA
Rfam family: Bacterial large subunit ribosomal RNA
Source: RNAcentral
CGAAUGCUGACAUAAGUAACGAUAAAGCGGGUGAAAAGCCCGCUCGCCGGAAGACCAAGGGUUCCUGUCCAACGUUAAUCGGGGCAGGGUGAGUCGACCCCUAAGGCGAGGCCGAAAGGCGUAGUCGAUGGGAAACAGGUUAAUAUUCCUGUACUUGGUGUUACUGCGAAGGGGGGACGGAGAAGGCUAUGUUGGCCGGGCGACGGUUGUCCCGGUUUAAGCGUGUAGGCUGGUUUUCCAGGCAAAUCCGGAAAAUCAAGGCUGAGGCGUGAUGACGAGGCACUACGGUGCUGAAGCAACAAAUGCCCUGCUUCCAGGAAAAGCCUCUAAGCAUCAGGUAACAUCAAAUCGUACCCCAAACCGACACAGGUGGUCAGGUAGAGAAUACCAAGGCGCUUGAGAGAACUCGGGUGAAGGAACUAGGCAAAAUGGUGCCGUAACUUCGGGAGAAGGCACGCUGAUAUGUAGGUGAAGUCCCUCGCGGAUGGAGCUGAAAUCAGUCGAAGAUAUCAGCUGGCUGCAACUGUUUAUUAAAAACACAGCACUGUGCAAACACGAAAGUGGACGUAUACGGUGUGACGCCUGCCCGGUGCCGGAAGGUUAAUUGAUGGGGUUAGCCGCAAGGCGAAGCUCUUGAUCGAAGCCCCGGUAAACGGCGGCCGUAACUAUAACGGUCCUAAGGUAGCGAAAUUCCUUGUCGGGUAAGUUCCGACCUGCACGAAUGGCGUAAUGAUGGCCAGGCUGUCUCCACCCGAGACUCAGUGAAAUUGAACUCGCUGUGAAGAUGCAGUGUACCCGCGGCAAGACGGAAAGACCCCGUGAACCUUUACUAUAGCUUGACACUGAACAUUGAGCCUUGAUGUGUAGGAUAGGUGGGAGGCUUUGAAGUGUGGACGCCAGUCUGCAUGGAGCCGACCUUGAAAUACCACCCUUUAAUGUUUGAUGUUCUAACGUUGACCCGUAAUCCGGGUUGCGGACAGUGUCUGGUGGGUAGUUUGACUGGGGCGGUCUCCUCCUAAAGAGUAACGGAGGAGCACGAAGGUUGGCUAAUCCUGGUCGGACAUCAGGAGGUUAGUGCAAUGGCAUAAGCCAGCUUGACUGCGAGCGUGACGGCGCGAGCAGGUGCGAAAGCAGGUCAUAGUGAUCCGGUGGUUCUGAAUGGAAGGGCCAUCGCUCAACGGAUAAAAGGUACUCCGGGGAUAACAGGCUGAUACCGCCCAAGAGUUCAUAUCGACGGCGGUGUUUGGCACCUCGAUGUCGGCUCAUCACAUCCUGGGGCUGAAGUAGGUCCCAAGGGUAUGGCUGUUCGCCAUUUAAAGUGGUACGCGAGCUGGGUUUAGAACGUCGUGAGACAGUUCGGUCCCUAUCUGCCGUGGGCGCUGGAGAACUGAGGGGGGCUGCUCCUAGUACGAGAGGACCGGAGUGGACGCAUCACUGGUGUUCGGGUUGUCAUGCCAAUGGCACUGCCCGGUAGCUAAAUGCGGAAGAGAUAAGUGCUGAAAGCAUCUAAGCACGAAACUUGCC